Octopus sinensis (East Asian common octopus) is the source of this 160-nucleotide long non-coding RNA. RefSeq lists it as uncharacterized. The transcript is spliced from 3 exons. Lineage: Eukaryota; Metazoa; Mollusca; Cephalopoda; Octopoda; Octopodidae. The record is from RefSeq and is a predicted model, not a curated record.
UAUAUAUAUAUGUGUGUGUGUGUGUGUGUGUUUGUGUGUGACUAAGCACAUAAAUGCAAAACAAAGUGGAAAAAUAGUACUCGAAUACCAAAAGUAGAGCAAUAUGCUUUUUUACGAGAGCUGUAAAAGCAUCACAAAAAACUGUUGCUCUGAGUUUCAA